This 191-nucleotide unclassified non-coding RNA is filed under the name soil metagenome. Its description in RNAcentral is "partial internal transcribed spacer 1". The record is from RNAcentral.
ACAGAUUCUCUCUGAAUCUAACCAUGUGUGAACUGUCUCUUUAAUCAUGGGUGUGGUAAAGUUGGUGCGGAAGGCGUCAUUUUGUGGUAAAACACUUGGUGGCGAACGAAUAGUGUCCAUUACCGCCAAUCAAACCCAACCAUGACUAUCCAACCAUUUAACUUUAUGACUGAAUAAAAAACAAACCUAGA